Molecule: ribosomal RNA, 253 nt
Filed under: uncultured bacterium
Lineage: Bacteria
Description: partial 16S ribosomal RNA
Rfam family: Bacterial small subunit ribosomal RNA
Source: RNAcentral
UACGAAGGGGGCUAGCGUUGCUCGGAAUUACUGGGCGUAAAGCGCACGUAGGCGGCUUCUUAAGUCGGUGGUGAAAUCCUGGAGCUCAACUCCAGAACUGCCUUCGAUACUGGCGAUCUUGAGUCCGGAAGAGGUGAGUGGAACUCCUAGUGUAGAGGUGGAAUUCGUAGAUAUUAGGAAGAACACCGGUGGCGAAGGCGGCACUCUGGGCCGGAACUGACGCUGAGGAGCGAAAGCGUGGGGAGCGAACAGG